Molecule: transfer RNA, 83 nt
Filed under: Elusimicrobiota bacterium
Lineage: Bacteria; Pseudomonadati; Elusimicrobiota
Description: Elusimicrobia bacterium (groundwater metagenome) tRNA-Leu
Rfam family: tRNA
About the family: Transfer RNA (tRNA) molecules are approximately 80 nucleotides in length. Their secondary structure includes four short double-helical elements and three loops (D, anti-codon, and T loops). Further hydrogen bonds mediate the characteristic L-shaped molecular structure. tRNAs have two regions of fundamental functional importance: the anti-codon, which is responsible for specific mRNA codon recognition, and the 3' end, to which the tRNAs corresponding amino acid is attached (by aminoacyl-tRNA synthetases). tRNAs cope with the degeneracy of the genetic code in two manners: having more than one tRNA (with a specific anti-codon) for a particular amino acid; and 'wobble' base-pairing, i.e. permitting non-standard base-pairing at the 3rd anti-codon position.
Source: RNAcentral
GCGCAGGUGGCGGAAUGGCAGACGCGCACGGCUCAGGACCGUGUGGCCGCAAGGCCUUGGGGGUUCAAGUCCCCCCCUGCGCA